Long non-coding RNA from Oncorhynchus tshawytscha (Chinook salmon), 314 nucleotides. The record is from Ensembl. NCBI's taxonomy places the organism in Eukaryota, Metazoa, Chordata, Actinopteri, Salmoniformes, Salmonidae.
AAGAAAGGAGAUGGAGAAAAGAGGGAAAGAGAGAGAAUGGAGGGAUGAAGAGAAAAGAGAAGAGCGAGAAAUGAGAAAAACCAGGGGAGAAGAGAAAAGGAGGGAGAAAGGAGAGAUGAAAAAGAAAGAAGGAAAGAAAAAGGAGAAAUAGAAAGGAUAGAAUGACUGCAUGGAAUGGAUACAAAUACAAGACAAAGCGGGUGCUGCCGUGGGCCUCACCCCAUCCCAAAGCACUCACAGACGGCCCAGUCCUCGCGCUGCAGGAGCUGUUCACCCCUCCAUGUCCAGACUGUAAAUGAAUCGUGCAUGGGCUG